UAGUUUAAAUUUAGCCUUAUUUAAAAUUAAUUUUCAAUGAACAGAAGGAGUGCAUUUUGAAGAUCAGCGCAUGAUGUUUUAUUCUUUCUUACGGAAUAAAACCAUUUUAAAGAAAGAUAUGCUUUUGAAGAAACAAGGCUACAUCUUUUUUUGAAAUGAAUGAGUCCUCAUCAUUUGAAAUUAACAAAAAUGUGAAUCUUUCCCUUCCAAGCAAAGAAAGUAUUAAUUUCAGUGUCAUGUUUUUGGUAAAAAAUAACGCAUCUAUUACUGCUUACUGUUACUGCAUAUAUUUACUGUUGUUUCAAAGUAUAGCCUUUUAUGCAAAUCGGCUCACUUUACAAACCGAGAGGGCAGAAAACCUUCAUAAAUUUUAUUGUGUUCGCUUUAGUAUCAAAUUUAACGUCUAGAACCUGUGUUGGCAACUACUCCGGUAAAAGAAAAAAAGGAGAAGAAAACAGUUAAUUGAUUCGAGCUUUUUUGUUAACAGAGAGAAAACCAGAUGAUAACCCGUAGAAUUAGCAUUUUUUAUUUAGAACUUUAACUUGAACCUGAUUUUUGGGAACUUUUGAAUCGGCUGUAAUAGAAUAUUCUUGAUUAAAGGAUUAGCCUUUUAAUCUAAAAAUAUAAAUAAUAUUAUGUUAAUACAAAACUAAGAAAAGCUAGUCAUGUUUAUGAUUAUUUCUACGUGAUGAAUGAUUUAUUAAAGAAGACGUUAGGUUUUUCCUAGCAGCUCUCUGGAGUAUAAUACAGCAUCAAGAAAAUAAUCAAAGAGGCAAGAUAAAGAUUAAAAUGAAAGUAUCAUGGAAGAACACAGCAUAUAACAUGGCUAGAAAAAGAAGUCAGAUGAAAAUCUUGGUACAGGUCAAUCGCCAUUGAAAAGUGAUAGAAAUUUCAGAUUACUAUCAAGCUUAUUGUUAUUAAGUAUGCUUAAUACUCAAGUUUUUCUAUGCAAAAACGUGCUGAUUAUCUGAUGAUUAUGAAAACUUUCCCUGAGGAUCACAGCAAAAUUAAAAGUAAUCGAUUAAUUUUAAAAAGGCAUUUGGAAUAUUUUGUUGAAUUAGCAAAUUUUUUAUUGCUUUGUUAAAACUUUUGGUUAUUAAAUCUUAUUCUCUGAUUAAAGCCAUUUUGAAAUAUUAUGUAAGUUUUCAGUUUUA
Long non-coding RNA from Stegodyphus dumicola, 1154 nucleotides. Lineage: Eukaryota; Metazoa; Arthropoda; Arachnida; Araneae; Eresidae. The record is from RefSeq and is a predicted model, not a curated record.